Poeciliopsis prolifica (blackstripe livebearer) is the source of this 368-nucleotide long non-coding RNA. RefSeq lists it as uncharacterized. Lineage: Eukaryota; Metazoa; Chordata; Actinopteri; Cyprinodontiformes; Poeciliidae. The transcript is spliced from 3 exons. The record is from RefSeq and is a predicted model, not a curated record.
GUGUUUUUUAAAAAAAGUCUCUCCAGGAAGACACUGAUGCAACUCGCCAGAAACUCCUGCUCCUUCUGACACUCCGCCUUCAGGAAGUCGUCACAACAUGGCUUCUCUAUUGAUCCUUUAACAACAUUUUUGCUGGAAGAAAUGACAAGUAGCUCCGCUUCCUGUGCAAGAUGUGUAAUUGAAUAUGGACCCAAAGAAUCAAAGCAACACUCUAGCAUGACGUGUCAAAAAUAACAGUGGAGUCCAGCGCUACUGAGUCUCGCUGGCAUCAUUCCAGACGGGAGAACUGGGACGCGGAAAGCGGGCCAAAGUUUCAGACGUUCCGCGCCAGCCGGCGCGGAGAAAGCGAUCGCCGGUCUGUUGGGCGA